CACAGAUUUUGAGGGUUUCAUUUAUUGC
This 28-nucleotide non-coding RNA is filed under the name Mus musculus (house mouse). Lineage: Eukaryota; Metazoa; Chordata; Mammalia; Rodentia; Muridae. The record is from RNAcentral.